RNAcentral lists this ribosomal RNA (465 nucleotides) under uncultured bacterium. RNAcentral's name for it is "partial 16S ribosomal RNA". The stretch from base 52 to 465 matches the Rfam family "Bacterial small subunit ribosomal RNA", at positions 39 to 507 of the family's 1533-position model. The record is from RNAcentral.
GGGGGGGGGGGGGGGGGGGGGGGGGGGGGGGGGGGCGGGGGGGGGGGGGGGGUGGGGGGUGGGCGGGGGGGGGAGGGGGGAGUAACACGUGAGGAACCUGCGCUUGCCUUCGGGAGAACUUCAGGCAACUGGGGCUAAUACCGGAGAGGACUCCUUGCUGCCUGGUGGGGGUUGGCAAGCUUCGGCGGUUGUGGAUUGACUCGCGGCGUAUCAGCUUGUUGGGGGGGGCGUGGCUUACCCAGGCUUUGCCGGGUAGCCGGCCUGAGAGGGCGACCGGCCACAGUGGGACUGAGAUACGGCCCAGACUCCUACUGGCGGCAGCAGUGGGGAAUAUUGCACAAUGGGCGGCGGCCUGAUGCAGCAACGCCGCGUGCGGGAUGACGGCCUUCGGGUUGUAAACCGCUUUCAGCAGGGGCGAAGCUUGUGGUGACGGUACCGGCAGAAGAAGCACCGGCUAACUACGUG